AGUGGCGAACGGGUGAGUAAUAUAUCGGAACGUGCCCAGUAGUGGGGGAUAGCCCGGCGAAAGCCGGAUUAAUACCGCAUACGACCUAAGGGUGAAAGCGGGGGAUCGCAAGACCUCGCGCUAUUGGAGCGGCCGAUAUCAGAUUAGGUAGUUGGUGGGGUAAAAGCCUACCAAGCCUGCGAUCUGUAGCUGGUCUGAGAGGACGACCAGCCACACUGGGACUGAGACACGGCCCAGACUCCUACGGGAGGCAGCAGUGGGGAAUUUUGGACAAUGGGCGCAAGCCUGAUCCAGCCAUGCCGCGUGCGGGAAGAAGGCCUUCGGGUUGUAAACCGCUUUUGUCAGGGAAGAAACGCUCUGGGUUAAUACCUCGGGGUAAUGACGGUACCUGAAGAAUAAGCACCGGCUAACUACGUGCCAGCAGCCGCGGUAAUACGUAGGGUGCAAGCGUUAAUCGGAAUUACUGGGCGUAAAGCGUGCGCAGGCGGUCUUGCAAGAACAGAUGUGAAAUCCCCGGGCUCAACCUGGGAACUGCAUUUGUGACUGCAAGGCUAGAGUACGGUAGAAGGGGGAUGGAAUUCCGCGUGGUAGCAGUGAAAUGCGUAGAUUAUGCGGAGGAACACCGAAUGGCGAAGGCAAUCCCCCUGGACCUGUACUGACGCUCAUGCACGAAAGCGUGGGGAGCAAACAGGAUUAGAUACCCCUGGUAGUCCACGCCCUAAACGAUGUCAACUGGUUGUUUGGGGAAGGUUCCUUCUUCAGUAACGUAGCCUAACGGCGUGAAGUUGACCGCCCUGGGGAGUACGGCCCGCAGGUUGAAACUCAAAGGGAAUUGACGGGACCCGCACAAGCGGUGGGAUGGAUGUGGUUUAUCGAACGCAACGCGAAAACCUUACCUACCCUUUGACAU
Molecule: ribosomal RNA, 910 nt
Filed under: Comamonadaceae bacterium W65
Lineage: Bacteria; Pseudomonadati; Pseudomonadota; Betaproteobacteria; Burkholderiales; Comamonadaceae
Description: bacterial SSU rRNA
Rfam family: Bacterial small subunit ribosomal RNA
Source: RNAcentral